This 564-nucleotide ribosomal RNA is filed under the name uncultured bacterium. Its description in RNAcentral is "partial 16S rRNA". It matches the Rfam family "Bacterial small subunit ribosomal RNA", at positions 355 to 896 of the family's 1533-position model. The record is from RNAcentral.
UAGGGAAUCUUCGGCAAUGGACGGAAGUCUGACCGAGCAACGCCGCGUGAGUGAAGAAGGUUUUCGGAUCGUAAAGCUCUGUUGUAAGAGAAGAACGAGUGUGAGAGUGGAAAGUUCACACUGUGAGGGUAUCUUACCUUAAGGGACGGCUAACUACUUGCCAGCAGCCCCGGUAAUACGUAUGUCCCGAGCGUUGUCCGGAUUUAUUGGGCGUAUUGCGAGCGCAGGCGGUUAGAUAAGUCUGAAAAAANNNUCUGAAGUUAAAGGCUGUGGCUUAACCAUAGUACGCUUUGGAAACUGUUUAACUUGAGUGCAAGAGGGGAGAGUGGAAUUCCAUGUGUAGCGGUGAAAUGCGUAGAUAUAUGGAGGAACACCGGUGGCNAAAAGCGGCUCUCUGGCUUGGNNNNACCCUNAUGCUCNANAANNCGUGGGGGAGCAAACAGGAUUAGAUACCCUGGUAGUCCACGCCGUANCGAUGAGUGCUAGGUGUUAGACCCUUUCCGGGGUUUAGUGCCGCAGCUAACGCAUUAAGCACUCCGCCUGGGGAGUACGACCGCAAGGUUG